CGGCGGACGGGUGAGUAACACGUAGGUAACCUACCUAUAAGACUGGGAUAACUUCGGGAAACCGGAGCUAAUACCGGAUAAUAUUUCGAACUGCAUGGUUCGAUAGUGAAAGAUGGCUUUGCUAUCACUUAUAGAUGGACCUGCGCCGUAUUAGCUAGUUGGUAAGGUAACGGCUUACCAAGGCAACGAUACGUAGCCGACCUGAGAGGGUGAUCGGUCACACUGGAACUGAGACACGGUCCAG
RNAcentral lists this ribosomal RNA (244 nucleotides) under uncultured Staphylococcus sp. RNAcentral describes it as "partial 16S ribosomal RNA". It matches the Rfam family "Bacterial small subunit ribosomal RNA", at positions 96 to 334 of the family's 1533-position model. The record is from RNAcentral. Lineage: Bacteria; Bacillati; Bacillota; Bacilli; Caryophanales; Staphylococcaceae.